UUUAAAAGGUAGAUUUUCCUUCAAUGAUUACGUGUUGCCUGGUUAAUCAUAGAGGAAAAUCCACAUUUUCAG
MicroRNA precursor from Oryctolagus cuniculus (rabbit), 72 nucleotides. The record is from Rfam. NCBI's taxonomy places the organism in Eukaryota, Metazoa, Chordata, Mammalia, Lagomorpha, Leporidae.